GACAACAUAUUAGGCUAACAGAUAAUUGGUCAGAUUACAUAGAAAUAGAUCAUUAAGGUAAAAACUGCAUUCAGUUUGUAUCAGUUGAAAUAAUGAAAUAUUAAUUAUUGGGUCACAAGACUAUGUGUCAUCCUUAUAUGCUCUGUUACAGCGGAAAAACUUAAAAAUGUCUUACAUCUAAUUAUAGCAUAGCCGCCUACCUCUGAAUUAUGAACGGAAGAAUAUGAAGACGCCCGCUGUUGCCAUCAAAUGGAUUCUUUGUUAUAGGCCUACGUAUUCUGUGCCCUAAAUACAGCUACUAAUGAAUUAAACCAUGUACACAGUAAAGCUAAAAUACACCUAUACUAUAGCCUCCAAGUCUGGAAGCGCGUUUUGUGAUUUAGACGAGGUUGUUUUCUGUAGUCCUUCAGAAAAGCGCGCGCAUGCAUGCUCACGCGGCUGUAGUGAAGCACGCGAUCGAUCGGCCUUGCUAAAAAACCUUCCUUGGUCUUGUGUUGUCAAAUAUUUUUGUAAAAUUUUGAAGCUUUAACCCCCUUCCAGAAAGAACUUAUGAAUUAUACACGAAUCAAGUAAAUCAAACGUAGCCUAUUUUGGAUUAAAAAAAGAAGACGACUCGUUUUCAGCACGGACCAUGGUUCAAACAAGCGAUUUAUGAGAUCAUGAGGACAAGGACGGCACACCUGGAGUGAAUUCAGGCUGGAUUGAGUCUUCCACUUUCACCGCAUCAAUAGUCACAUGACCAAGCUCUGGGAGCAGUAUUCCCAGCAAGAGGACCUCUGGAAGCUUGCAUAUAUGCACGUGUCAGAGUGUCAUGGCGGAUCGGUGACAGCUGGAGGACAGAAAGCACUCCAUCAUUAGUACAAAAAGCUGGGAGGAGAAAGGGAGGAGCAGCUCAGUUAACAGCACUGCACGCUCCUCUUUCAGUCUGCCAGGAGAGGUGGCAGUGAUCAAGGACCCGCUGCCCUUCGCUGUCAGGGCCAAAGGGCCGAGUAGCAGGUGUAUGUCUGUGAUGCGAUUGAAUAUUGUGAUCCAGCAGCAUCUGUGCGGUCAGGCUUUGGAAUCUAGUGUAUCCUUUUACAUCAUCACCACUAAAUCCAAAUGAUUUAGUCAAGCAAUUUCUGUUUUGGAAAAAUCGGAUAUCCUGGUCCCAUUGAGCAGAACAGCUAAAGCCAGGAUCAUAGUUUGGAUUCAGUUUUGCCAUAAUUGUGCUUUGAGCUAGAUAAUAUUUUGAAACAUGGCUUAAAUUUAAUAGGAUGAAAUGACACUGCCGGUAUUUCAUAUAACAACUGUCUAGACUUCCACAUCAUUGCUAUACGGCUUCUGUCGAAUGAAACAUUGUGCUUCCACAUCUGUCUUUAUUUUUAUAUGGCUCUUUCACUGUCUAUCAGGCUGUGGCUUUUCUAACUCACUGGGUGUUUCUGAAAAUCCCCAAACAAGAGACCUAUAAUAAAUUUAUUACCAUAUUUUCCCCAUGGCUAACCCUGUAUAUUUUCCAUGUUCUUGUUUCAGUAGUCCUGAAAAUAAAAUGAAAAAAACAGAAUUUACUUCUUACGCUAGACUCAAUGCUGAAAACCAUGAAAUAUAAGCAAUCAUGCUUUUUUAAACCUCUUGUGUUCUAUGUGUUUUGAAGAAAUACAGUAACCCAUAAAACUGCCCAUGAAAUUCAUAUGAAUA
Megalobrama amblycephala (Wuchang bream) is the source of this 1674-nucleotide long non-coding RNA. RefSeq lists it as uncharacterized. Lineage: Eukaryota; Metazoa; Chordata; Actinopteri; Cypriniformes; Xenocyprididae. The transcript has 4 exons. The record is from RefSeq and is a predicted model, not a curated record.